CCUACGGGCGGCAGCAGUGAGGAAUAUUGGUCAAUGGGCGCGAGCCUGAACCAGCCAAGUCGCGUGAGGGAAGACGGCUUUCGGGUUGUAAACUUCUUUUCUCAGGGACGAAGAAAGUGACGGUACCUGAGGAAUAAGCCACGGCUAACUACGUGCCAGCAGCCGCGGUAAUACGUAGGUGGCAAGCGUUAUCCGGAUUUAUUGGGUGUAAAGGGCGUGUAGGCGGGAGCGCAAGUCAGAUGUGAAAACUCAGGGCUCAACCCUGAGCCUGCAUUUGAAACUGUCCGGCUGGAGUGCAGGAGAGGUAAGCGGAAUUCCUAGUGUAGCGGUGAAAUGCGUAGAUAUUAGGAGGAACACCAGUGGCGAAGGCGGCUUACUGGACUGUAACUGACACUGAGGCACGAAAGCGUGGGGAGCAAACAGGAUUAGAUACCCCAGUAGUC
Molecule: ribosomal RNA, 443 nt
Filed under: uncultured bacterium
Lineage: Bacteria
Description: partial 16S ribosomal RNA
Rfam family: Bacterial small subunit ribosomal RNA
Source: RNAcentral